Molecule: ribosomal RNA, 701 nt
Filed under: Bacillus paramycoides
Lineage: Bacteria; Bacillati; Bacillota; Bacilli; Caryophanales; Bacillaceae
Description: bacterial SSU rRNA
Rfam family: Bacterial small subunit ribosomal RNA
Source: RNAcentral
AGUCGAGCGAAUGGAUUAAGAGCUUGCUCUUAUGAAGUUAGCGGCGGACGGGUGAGUAACACGUGGGUAACCUGCCCAUAAGACUGGGAUAACUCCGGGAAACCGGGGCUAAUACCGGAUAACAUUUUGAACCGCAUGGUUCGAAAUUGAAAGGCGGCUUCGGCUGUCACUUAUGGAUGGACCCGCGUCGCAUUAGCUAGUUGGUGAGGUAACGGCUCACCAAGGCAACGAUGCGUAGCCGACCUGAGAGGGUGAUCGGCCACACUGGGACUGAGACACGGCCCAGACUCCUACGGGAGGCAGCAGUAGGGAAUCUUCCGCAAUGGACGAAAGUCUGACGGAGCAACGCCGCGUGAGUGAUGAAGGCUUUCGGGUCGUAAAACUCUGUUGUUAGGGAAGAACAAGUGCUAGUUGAAUAAGCUGGCACCUUGACGGUACCUAACCAGAAAGCCACGGCUAACUACGUGCCAGCAGCCGCGGUAAUACGUAGGUGGCAAGCGUUAUCCGGAAUUAUUGGGCGUAAAGCGCGCGCAGGUGGUUUCUUAAGUCUGAUGUGAAAGCCCACGGCUCAACCGUGGAGGGUCAUUGGAAACUGGAAGACUUGAGUGCAGAAGAGGAGAGUGGAAUUCCAUGUGUAGCGGUGAAAUGCGUAAAGAUAUGGAGGAACACCAGUGGCGAAGGCGACUUUCUGGUCUGUAACU